GACGAACGCUGGCGGCGUGCUUAACACAUGCAAGUCGAACGGAAAGGCCCUGCUUUUGUGGGGUGCUCGAGUGGCGAACGGGGGAGUAACACGUGAGUAACCUGCCCUUGACUGUGGGAUAACUUCAGGAAACUGGGGCUAAUACCGGAUAGGAGCUCCUGCUGCAUGGUGGGGGUUGGAAAGUUUCGGCGGUUGGGGAUGGACUCGCGGCUUAUCAGCUUGUUGGUGGGGUAGUGGCUGACCAAGGCUUUGACGGGUAGCCGGCCUGAGAGGGUGACCGGCCACAUUGGGCCUGAGAUACGGCCCAGACUCCUACGGGAGGCAGCAGUGGGGAAUAUUGCACAAUGGGCGGAAGCCUGAUGCAGCAACGCCGCGUGCGGGAUGACGGCCUUCGGGUUGUAAACCGCUUUCGCAUGUGACGAAGCGUGAGUGACGGUAAUGGGUAAAGAAGCACCGGCUAACUACGUG
Molecule: ribosomal RNA, 468 nt
Filed under: uncultured bacterium
Lineage: Bacteria
Description: partial 16S ribosomal RNA
Rfam family: Bacterial small subunit ribosomal RNA
Source: RNAcentral